AACUUUCAACAACGGAUCUCUUGGCUCUCGCAUCGAUGAAGAACGCAGCGAAAUGCGAUAAGUAAUGUGAAUUGCAGAAUUCAGUGAAUCAUCGAAUCUUUGAACGCACCUUGCGCCCCUUGGUUUUCCGAGGGGCAUGCCUGUUUGAGUGUCA
Molecule: ribosomal RNA, 154 nt
Filed under: Xanthoporia andersonii
Lineage: Eukaryota; Fungi; Basidiomycota; Agaricomycetes; Hymenochaetales; Hymenochaetaceae
Description: 5.8S ribosomal RNA
Rfam family: 5.8S ribosomal RNA
About the family: 5.8S ribosomal RNA (5.8S rRNA) is a component of the large subunit of the eukaryotic ribosome. It is transcribed by RNA polymerase I as part of the 45S precursor that also contains 18S and 28S rRNA.
Source: RNAcentral